RNAcentral lists this ribosomal RNA (393 nucleotides) under uncultured bacterium. RNAcentral describes it as "partial 16S ribosomal RNA". It matches the Rfam family "Bacterial small subunit ribosomal RNA", at positions 523 to 918 of the family's 1533-position model. The record is from RNAcentral.
AUACGGAAGGUCCGGGCGUUAUCCGGAUUUAUUGGGUUUAAAGGGAGCGCAGGCGGAGAUGCAAGCGUGACGUCAAAUUUCGGGGCUCAACCCCGUCUCGCGUCGCGAACUGCGUCCCUUGGUUGCGGGAAGGGGAGGCGGAACUCGUGGUGUAGCGGUGAAAUGCAUAGAUAUCACGAAGAACUCCGAUCGCGAAGGCAGCCUUCCGGCCCGUCAACGACGCUCAUGCUCGAAGGUGCGGGUAUCAAACAGGAUUAGAUACCCUGGUAGUCCGCACAGUAAACGAUGGACACCCGCGGUUUGGCCUGUAUGGCUGAGCCGCCAAGCGAAAGCGUUAAGUGUCCCACCUGGGGAGUACGCCGGCAACUGUGAAACUCAAAGGAAUUGGCGGGG